Molecule: long non-coding RNA, 786 nt
Filed under: Trifolium pratense (red clover)
Lineage: Eukaryota; Viridiplantae; Streptophyta; Magnoliopsida; Fabales; Fabaceae
Description: long non-coding RNA (TPRA_LNC008954)
Source: RNAcentral
UUUAAACUUCUUAACAUGUGCAAAUUUGCACAUGAUAGAUAAACCCAUAUAAAUUAUGAAACAACCCAAAAUAAAAUUAAAAUAUGUGAAAAAUUACUAAAGACAAUAAAGUAUGGUUACUUAAAUGAGUUUAAUUGAUAUGCACCGACGGUGUAAAAUAGUUUUGUACGAUCGUCCAAUAAACAACCAUCAUUUUGCCAUGUCAUAUCAAGAAAGUGGGGUAAAAUGGGGUGAUGUGGCGGAAAACAUGGUUGGUAUUGAUUGACGGUGUAAAAUUAUUUUACACCGUCGGUGUAUAUAAAUUAAAUCCUACUUAAAUAGCAUAUAUUACUUAAAUGAUGGUUCAAAAUUAAUAUAUAUUAUAAAAAUAUUUAUUUAUCUGAAAAUAGAUUAAAAUGCAAAUUUAACCAGAUAAAUUGAAACUAAGUAACAUUUAUGCAUUAGGAACAUUUUCUCUUCUGUAGAUCGAGAUCUAAGAUGAGGAUAUUCACAAACAUUUUGUCAUCGAUCAACAAGGCUAAGCCAAGGUAUCUUCUUCAUACAUCCUUUCUUAAGUUUUCAUCAACGAAAGCAUUGUAACUGUUGUUUUUGGAAUGGGUUAAUUUUAAUCCUUCAUUCAUAAGCAUCCUAACUGUUUUCAAAUUGGUUUUAAUGGAAUGGGUUUUGAUUUAUAGAAAUUGUAACCAUUUGAUUUGAAUCUGAUAUAGGUGUUAAUGGGAUGGGUUGAUUUUUUUAUACGCAUGUUACCUGUUUGAUUUAAAUCUGAAUUGGGGUUUAAGGGAAAGG